UUGAACGCUGGCGGCAUGCCUUACACAUGCAAGUCGAACGGUAACGCGGGGCAACCUGGCGACGAGUGGCGAACGGGUGAGUAAUACAUCGGAACGUGCCCAGUAGUGGGGGAUAGCCCGGCGAAAGCCGGAUUAAUACCGCAUACGACCUACGGGUGAAAGCGGGGGAUCGCAAGACCUCGCGCUAUUGGAGCGGCCGAUGUCAGAUUAGCUAGUUGGUGGGGUAAAAGCCUACCAAGGCGACGAUCUGUAGCUGGUCUGAGAGGACGACCAGCCACACUGGGACUGAGACACGGCCCAGACUCCUACGGGAGGCAGCAGUGGGGAAUUUUGGACAAUGGGGGCAACCCUGAUCCAGCCAUGCCGCGUGCGGGAAGAAGGCCUUCGGGUUGUAAACCGCUUUUGUCAGGGAAGAAACGGUCUGCGCUAAUACCGCGGACUAAUGACGGUACCUGAAGAAUAAGCACCGGCUAACUACGU
RNAcentral lists this ribosomal RNA (480 nucleotides) under uncultured bacterium. RNAcentral describes it as "bacterial SSU rRNA". It matches the Rfam family "Bacterial small subunit ribosomal RNA", at positions 29 to 506 of the family's 1533-position model. The record is from RNAcentral.